UCUCUCCUCCUUCUCCUUUUCGACGGAAAAAUCCGUCGGAACAUAUAGCUAUAAAAAAGAAAAAAAAAUUGUAAACUUCCUAACCCUAAAUCCCCCCUUUCUCUACCGCCCCUUUUCUUUUUCCCUCUCUUCUCUUUCCUCUCUCUCUCCUCCUUCUCCUUUCCUUUCUUCUGUUGUUCCGCGCGCGACCCCUCUCUACUCCAUUCCUCUCUUUUCUUCUUCUUCUCUCCUCUUCAUUUUCUUCCCCUUGUUCUUCUAUCACCACCACCACCAACAUCUCUGCCAUCACCACUGACAACAACCAACAUCACCGCCAUCCCCGCCACCAACAACACCACAACAACAACAACACCACAACAAAGCCCACGAAGAUUUUCCGACCAUAUUCCCGACCACAUUCCCGGCGUUUAUGGUUUUAAGGUCAAGUUCGACCAUGGAAAUGCUAGAUCUAGCGUUUUCAUGGUCGAAUUUGGCCUUAUAUAACUAAUUUUCAGACCAAUUUCAAGACUUUGAAACGUUUUGGGGGAUUAGGCGUCCAUACGACAAUUACCACCGGAGUUUAUUUGGUGGUUACACAAGGUGUUGGUAUUCGGGAUGAUUUACGCGCACUAAUGUUACGUAGUCACGUCCUAGAUAAAAUAGUAGUUCCGAUUUAGUGUUUGCAUCUAAUUAUAUUUUUGUCACACUAUGUUGCAUUUAAAGGAAAUUUAUAUACAGUUUUUGAUGUAGAGUAAAUUGUUAUUAGCUAAAGUUACUGUUUCUGAUUAAAGUAGUUUCUUUUUUUCCUUUUUUUUGUUUUUUUUUUUUUUGUUUUGCUGUGUUUAUAUUCUCGUGGUUAAUAUUGGUAAUAUAUAUAGGUGAGUAGGUGUGACUAUGUUUUUUAAUUAUUAAGCGUAGUGUGUUUGUUAGUGGAAUAAAAUGAAUUUCAUCAAAGGGACUAUCUUGUACUGUGAGUAAUAAUCUAACUGCCAUAAUUGGAAAACAAACUUCCCAUCAAUUCACAACUAUCAAACAUUUUAGAUCUUCACACACAGCUUUGACCAAAGCUGUUUUUUUU
Molecule: long non-coding RNA, 1057 nt
Organism: Chenopodium quinoa (quinoa)
Lineage: Eukaryota; Viridiplantae; Streptophyta; Magnoliopsida; Caryophyllales; Amaranthaceae
Exons: 2
Source: RefSeq, a predicted model, not a curated record